RNAcentral lists this ribosomal RNA (1557 nucleotides) under Pristimantis euphronides. RNAcentral describes it as "partial 16S ribosomal RNA". It matches the Rfam family "Bacterial large subunit ribosomal RNA", at positions 425 to 2833 of the family's 2925-position model. Lineage: Eukaryota; Metazoa; Chordata; Amphibia; Anura; Strabomantidae. The record is from RNAcentral.
CCAAAAAUCUAGCCCCACUCUUUUUACAACUUCUAACCCCAAAUAAAAUAUUUUUUCAACAUAGUAAAGAAGAUUAAAAAAUUUAUAGGAGCUAUAAAACUGUACCGCAAGGGAAAAAUGAAAUAAAAAUGAAACAACUUUAAAGCACAAAAUAGUAGAGCCUCCACCUUGUACCUUUUGCAUCAUGGUUUAGCUAGUUUACCUGGGCAAAAAGACUUUUAGUCCAACUUCCCGAAACUAAGUGAGCUAUCUUAAGGCUGCUUAUGAGCUAACCCGUCUAUGUUGCAAAAUAGUGGGAGGACCUUAAAAUAGAGGUGAUAAACCUAACGAACUUAGUCAUAGCUGGUUUCUCAAGAAAAGAAUUUAAGUCCAACCUAAAGCGAAUCAUUUUAAUUUAAAACCACCCCCACCCUUUAGAGCAAUUCAAAUAAGGUACAGCCUAUUUGAUCUAGGAUACAACCUUUACCAAUGGGUAAUACCUAACUCACCCCUAAAGUGGGCCUAACAGCAGCCAUCUUUUAAAAGCGUCAAAGCUUAAUCGUGUAAUAUUAAUCCCCAACUUCCCAUCAACCCCUUCAAUACCACUGAGAAAUUCUAUAUUAGUAUAGAAGUUUUUAUGCUAAAACUAGUAACAAGAGUUACAACCUCUCCCCAUGUAAAUCUAAGCCAGAAAGAACCCAUCACUGGCAAUUAACAGACUUAAACAAAAGUAUUAACUAUUCUAGAAAACCUUACUUUUUCCCUCUGUUAACCUAACACAAGAACAUCUCAGGAAAGAUUAAAAGAAAAAGAAGGAACUCGGCAAAUAAAAGCCCCGCCUGUUUACCAAAAACAUCGCCUCUUGAUUUUUAUAAGAGGUCUAGCCUGCCCAGUGACCUAGUUCAACGGCCGCGGUAUUCUAACCGUGCAAAGGUAGCGUAAUCACUUGUCUUCUAAAUAAAGACUAGUAUGAAAGGCCCCACGAGGACUAAACUGUCUCCUUUUUCUAAUCAGUGAACCUAACCCCCCCGUGAAGAGGCGGGGAUAAAAUAAUAAGACGAGAAGACCCUGUGGAGCUUAAAACAUUAUAACACCUGUAACCUAUUUAUUCACUCAGGUAUUUUACCUAGUUCAUCAUGAUUAUAAGUUUUUGGUUGGGGUGACCGCGGGGAAAAAAUUAUCCCCCACAAUGAAUGGACCCCCCAGGCCUAAAGCUACAACUUUACGCAUCAACAAAUUGACAUCCUUUGACCCAAUACGUUGAUCAAUGAACCAAGUUACCCCAGGGAUAACAGCGCAAUCCACCUUGAGAGCCCCUAUCGACAGGUGGGCUUACGACCUCGAUGUUGGAUCAGGAUAUCCUAGUGGUGCAGCCGCUACUAAAGGUUCGUUUGUUCAACGAUUAAAACCCUACGUGAUCUGAGUUCAGACCGGAGUAAUCCAGGUCAGUUUCUAUCUAUAAAAGAGCUUUUUUUAGUACGAAAGGACCAAAACAGCAUGGCCAAUGUCCACUUAAGCCAUAGUUAAUCAUCUCUGACCCCCACUCAAGAACAAUUAGCCUUAUUUAAUAACUCAAGA